GCCGAAAUAGCUCAGUUGGGAGAGCGUUAGACUGAAGAUCUAAAGGUCCCCGUUUCAAUCCUGGGUUUUUGGCA
Non-coding RNA from Epinephelus moara (kelp grouper), 74 nucleotides. The record is from the annotation of a RefSeq genome assembly. NCBI's taxonomy places the organism in Eukaryota, Metazoa, Chordata, Actinopteri, Perciformes, Serranidae.